Long non-coding RNA from Pezoporus occidentalis (night parrot), 733 nucleotides. RefSeq lists it as uncharacterized. Lineage: Eukaryota; Metazoa; Chordata; Aves; Psittaciformes; Psittacidae. The record is from RefSeq and is a predicted model, not a curated record. The transcript is spliced from 3 exons.
ACCCUUCCUUGUUCUGUAAGAAUGGCAUGCUGAAGAGGAAUAGAUUUUCUUGAUAAUCACAGCCCCACAAAGAAGGUUUUCACAAGUAACUUAAAAAAGUGGAAAUCUUUCCACUCAGGGAAACAGAAACACCUUUUCAUAGCUCCCUGAGCUUGCUUUGGUUUGCAUCAGCACCACCCCUGAGCCAGCUUAGUUUUGGAGGAGCAGCGUGACAGAGAACAUCUGGUCAUUGAGUGUAUGCGGAGGAUGUUCAGAUGCUGUGGAGGAAAUGCCAGAGGUAGCCAGAGAGGGUGGGGAUGUUUGUCACCAGCCACUUUCAUUACUAGGGUUAAAAGCAGCAGUUGCCAGAGCUUCACCUCACCCAAAACUGACAAAGAAGAAUGUCUGAAUGGAAGUCUUCAGAGACAGGUACCUUCAGAAGGUGAUUCAUCUGCACUAUCUUAGAUACCUCUCUUAGGAAAAGAUGAAUAGACUUUUGACUAGAAUUCUGUCAGUGAGAAGUUUCAUAUAAAUAUCUUUCAAAAGUGUUUUUAACAGAAUAUUUUUUAUCUAAGGGAAAUAAAUUGCUUCUGUUCCUACUAGCUGAUGUAUCUGGCUGGCUAUGAAAAGUGAGUUUGCUUAUCUCACUCCAGCAACCUCUGUAUUCAAAUGCUACCACUGCCAUUGGUUCGUGUUAUCCCUACCACACUAGCACUCCUUAGAAAGAUAAAGAAUGGAGGAAUAAACAUCCUUA